UACAGACACACAUUAAUGUGGAUAUGAGCCUAUAAGGCCUGUGCAUCUGGCGCGCAGCUCUCCGGAAAUACACGAGCCGAGGUACACAAACAUGGCAAACCUCUCGCGUAGCCACGCGUAGCAAGGUGGCACACUUUUGGACGAAGAGAGAAAUGAGAAUCUCUGGCAAAUGUUCCCCCUUUACAACACGACGACAAGAGGCUUUUCACAAUCUCUUCAAGAGAUCCUCGUGGAAUUCUCAAUCCUGCGCCUCGGUGUUGCCCGUAAAGGUCACAAAGGAGACUUUUUUGUCUGUUUAGCUGCGCUUAGGUGUCUUCUUCAGUUACGAUGGGAUGAUUCGGCAUAGCAGCGGAGGAACUUUUCCACAGGGAGACGAGUCCUGUGAGAUAUAUGGAGCAAGACAACGGUUACGUUUGACAUACACGACUUUCUCUGCAGGGACUCUUUCCAGAAGUUCACUGGUGAACCAGAGAGUGUAUCCCAGCUGAGUUUCGGGGAGAGGUGUGUACACCUA
Molecule: long non-coding RNA, 514 nt
Organism: Hippocampus comes (tiger tail seahorse)
Lineage: Eukaryota; Metazoa; Chordata; Actinopteri; Syngnathiformes; Syngnathidae
Exons: 5
Source: RefSeq, a predicted model, not a curated record